RNAcentral lists this transfer RNA (54 nucleotides) under Protostrongylus rufescens. RNAcentral describes it as "tRNA-Asn". Lineage: Eukaryota; Metazoa; Nematoda; Chromadorea; Rhabditida; Metastrongylidae. The record is from RNAcentral.
UAGAAUGUAGUUUAAUAAGAAUUUUUAAUUGUUAAUUAAAAGGUUUUGUUCUAA